AUUCCAGCUCCAAUAGCGUAUAUUAAAGUUGUUGCAGUUAAAAAGCUCGUAGUUGGAUUUCUGAAUGAAAUAUCCGGUCCGCUUGUCUUUGAUGAGUGUGUACUUUAGAUAUUUGGUUCAUUUUUUGUGAGGAAAUUUAUCUGUCAUUAAGUUGAUGGAUUUAUAGACUUGCAUCAUUUACUGUAAAAAAAUUAGAGUGUUUAAAACAGGCGUUUGCCCAUUGAAUACAUUAGCAUGGAAUAAUAAGAUAUGACUUUGGUGGUCUAUUUUGUUGGUUUGCACACCAGAGUAAUGAUUAAUAGGGACAGUUGGUGGUAUUCAUAUUUCAACGUCAGAGGUGAAAUUCUUAGAUCGUUGAAAGAUGAGCUUAGGCGAAAGCAUUUACCAUGGAUGUUUUCAUCG
This is a ribosomal RNA of 402 nucleotides. It matches the Rfam family "Eukaryotic small subunit ribosomal RNA", at positions 582 to 975 of the family's 1831-position model.